CCUACGGGCGGCAGCAGUGAGGAAUAUUGGUCAAUGGACGAGAGUCUGAACCAGCCAAGUAGCGUGAAGGAUGACUGCCCUAUGGGUUGUAAACUUCUUUUAUAUGGGAAUAAAACGUUCCACGUGUGGGAUUUUGUAUGUACCAUAUGAAUAAGGAUCGGCUAACUCCGUGCCAGCAGCCGCGGUAAUACGGAGGAUGCGAGCGUUAUCCGGAUUUAUUGGGUUUAAAGGGUGCGCAGGCGGAAUGUCAAGUCAGCGGUAAAAUUUCGGGGCUCAACCCCGUCGUGCCGUUGAAACUGGCGUUCUUGAGUGAGCGAGAAGUAUGCGGAAUGCGUGGUGUAGCGGUGAAAUGCAUAGAUAUCACGCAGAACUCCGAUUGCGAAGGCAGUUCACUGGACUGCAACUGACACUGAGGCUCGAAAGUGUGGGUAUCAAACAGGAUUAGAUACCCUUGUAGUC
This 459-nucleotide ribosomal RNA is filed under the name uncultured bacterium. RNAcentral's name for it is "partial 16S ribosomal RNA". It matches the Rfam family "Bacterial small subunit ribosomal RNA", at positions 338 to 795 of the family's 1533-position model. The record is from RNAcentral.